Molecule: ribosomal RNA, 463 nt
Filed under: Escherichia coli
Lineage: Bacteria; Pseudomonadati; Pseudomonadota; Gammaproteobacteria; Enterobacterales; Enterobacteriaceae
Description: bacterial SSU rRNA
Rfam family: Bacterial small subunit ribosomal RNA
Source: RNAcentral
AUUGAACGCUGGCGGCAGGCCUAACACAUGCAAGUCGAACGGUAACAGGAAGCAGCUUGCUGCUUCGCUGACGAGUGGCGGACGGGUGAGUAAUGUCUGGGAAACUGCCUGAUGGAGGGGGAUAACUACUGGAAACGGUAGCUAAUACCGCAUAACGUCGCAAGACCAAAGAGGGGGACCUUAGGGCCUCUUGCCAUCGGAUGUGCCCAGAUGGGAUUAGCUAGUAGGUGGGGUAACGGCUCACCUAGGCGACGAUCCCUAGCUGGUCUGAGAGGAUGACCAGCCACACUGGAACUGAGACACGGUCCAGACUCCUACGGGAGGCAGCAGUGGGGAAUAUUGCACAAUGGGCGCAAGCCUGAUGCAGCCAUGCCGCGUGUAUGAAGAAGGCCUUCGGGUUGUAAAGUACUUUCAGCGGGGAGGAAGGGAGUAAAGUUAAUACCUUUGCUCAUUGACGUUACCC